CUUCACUGCCGAACAGGUAGCUUAGAAA
This is a non-coding RNA of Pseudoalteromonas ruthenica, 28 nucleotides long. The record is from Rfam. NCBI's taxonomy places the organism in Bacteria, Pseudomonadati, Pseudomonadota, Gammaproteobacteria, Alteromonadales, Pseudoalteromonadaceae.